UUCAACAUCCUAUCCCUGUUAAGUCUUCACGAAUCUGGUGCGAGGCUUGUGCAAAAAUAUGGCAAUCCUGAAAUUCCCGUCAAUGAUAAAGACAGGAACCAUAUCAUCAAAAUUGUUUCAAUGGGUCAUGUUGUGAAAGCAAUAGGCAACUACUAUCCAAAAUCCAGCACAAAGGAGAAGUUGGCCAAAGCGAUCGUUAAGGCAUUUCCUCAAAUGGGACUUACUCGGGCUUGACUACCAUCACAUGCUUAUAUUUACAACAGUGCGACCACAAACGCUUUUCUUGACCAACACUUGAAGCGGAUGAGAAAUGCAGCUUUAUCAGACAGUGAACGGAAAAGAAAAAGAAGUUAGGGAAAAGAUACAAUCGUGAAGGGUUAACGGAAAACACUGCAGAAGAAAUAAGUGGUAGAAGCUGCAAUUUCUUUAGAUGAAGGUUAUGUUACUAAAUCGAAAGACGAGGUUGCUUGGUUGCAAAUUUGUAAAGUUUUCGCUGAGAACAAGAAAUAAAUUAUUGAUCUCGUGAACAGUACAUUUCAACUCUGAAAGUUCGAAGUAAUCAACGCACUCAGGACGCCGACAGCCAUUUUUCUUCAAUAUCCCAGAUUAAAGAAUUUCUAUCACGGAGCUUUGGUUGAACGACUUGCUCACUAUGAGAAUUUAGAAAUUCCAGAAACAGCGGACGACAAAAUCAAGUUAACAAAUGUAAAAUUAUCACUUGGACACCGCCACUUAUUUCUUCUUUUUAAA
Long non-coding RNA from Daphnia pulex (common water flea), 750 nucleotides. RefSeq lists it as uncharacterized. The transcript is spliced from 3 exons. Lineage: Eukaryota; Metazoa; Arthropoda; Branchiopoda; Diplostraca; Daphniidae. The record is from RefSeq and is a predicted model, not a curated record.